Long non-coding RNA from Prionailurus viverrinus (fishing cat), 191 nucleotides. RefSeq lists it as uncharacterized. The record is from RefSeq and is a predicted model, not a curated record. The transcript has 2 exons. NCBI's taxonomy places the organism in Eukaryota, Metazoa, Chordata, Mammalia, Carnivora, Felidae.
AGGAGCCCCAGGUGUUCCCAUCCUGUGAUCAGCACAGAACACAGAAACCUCACCAUGGAGUUUGUGCUUGGCUGGGUUUGCCUGGUUGCUCAUUUAAAAGGUGUCCAGUGUGGUGUGCAGCUAGCUGGUGGAGUCUAGAGGAGACCUGGUGAAGCCUGGGGGGUUCUUGAGACUCACCUGUGUAGCCUCUG